Non-coding RNA from Pelobates cultripes (western spadefoot toad), 257 nucleotides. NCBI's taxonomy places the organism in Eukaryota, Metazoa, Chordata, Amphibia, Anura, Pelobatidae. The record is from the annotation of a GenBank genome assembly.
GUUUAAAUAAACCCUGCAGUUUCACAUAUGUAAAGAACUCCUCGGAAAACUGUAUGUUGCCAGGGUUCCUAUUUUUUUGGCCAAAACAGCUGAAUUUGAAACAUUUUACUUUCCAAUUAAGAAACAUCUGCUUAGAAUAAAAAAAAAAGGUAGAUUUCCCAGAUGUUGUAGAAUUACAACUCCCACUAUGCUUUUAGAAUGCUUUAGAACAGGCUUCCCCAAACUCCGGCCCUCCAGAUGUUGCUGAACUACAACUC